UACAGAGGGUGCGAGCGUUAAUCGGAAUUACUGGGCGUAAAGCGCGCGUAGUCGGCUUUGCAAGUCGGGUGUGAAAUCCCCAGGCUUAACCUGGGAACUGCAUUCGAGACGGCAUCGCUAGAGUAUGGGAGAGGGAAGUGGAAUUUCCGGUGUAGCGGUGAAAUGCGUAGAUAUCGGAAGGAACAUCAGUGGCGAAAGCGACUUCCUGGGCCAAUACUGACGCUCAUGUGCGAAAGCGUGGGGAGCAAACAGG
Molecule: ribosomal RNA, 253 nt
Filed under: uncultured bacterium
Lineage: Bacteria
Description: partial 16S ribosomal RNA
Rfam family: Bacterial small subunit ribosomal RNA
Source: RNAcentral